This 72-nucleotide transfer RNA is filed under the name Rhipicephalus microplus (southern cattle tick). RNAcentral's name for it is "tRNA-Glu". It matches the Rfam family "tRNA". From Rfam's summary of the family: Transfer RNA (tRNA) molecules are approximately 80 nucleotides in length. Their secondary structure includes four short double-helical elements and three loops (D, anti-codon, and T loops). Lineage: Eukaryota; Metazoa; Arthropoda; Arachnida; Ixodida; Ixodidae. The record is from Rfam by way of RNAcentral.
UCCGGCGUGGUCUAGUGGCUAGGAUACCUUGCUCUCACCCAGGAGGCCCGGGUUCAAUUCCCGGCGUCGCAA